ACACAAAUUCCUAGACGGCUAAAUUUUGCACCAUUCGAUAGCAAAAAUUAAAAGAAAUCAUGUUUCUUUGGACGAAAACUGCGCUUAUGUGGUUGCUAUUUCCACAAAAUGCGAUUGAAUAUUCUCCAUACAAUUUCUCAUAAUUUUCUAUAGAAGCCAUUGAAUGAACAGGUGGCGCCGCGAGUAUUUCAACAUUAUAAAUUCAAUUUAACACUUUAACCUCAAAAUAAAUGUUUUUGUUUUCAUUUUUGUGUCCGCAUCUAUACAGUACGUCCGGAAUACGUGAAUUUUUCGUGGUGCCCCACGUUUUGGGCAUGCAUGUGACCUUGGUCGUGUUGUGAAAUUGUUAUUGUUACACAGGGACGCUGGGGACGCUUUAUUGAUUUCCUUUAAAUAUUAAAAGAAAUCUCCGUCGGUGCAUAUGAUCUUGUACUCAAUCAGCCUAACCGGAUGCUGGAAAUCAGAUUCUCUUGUAAAAUCCGUUCCGACCGUCAAAAGCCACGCGAGGUACGCCGGAUAUCGCUGAAUUUCAUCGGGAAGAAAUACCUGUGAACACUGCAUCCAGAACUUCUCAACCAUUGUUUACGUGAGUGUCUUCUCGGUGGUCGAAUGCGGGAUCCUGGCCAUCAUUUAUGGCACCUACAUUGCCCGCGUGAUGCGUUUUAAUCGUACCAGAUCACUUCCGGAUACAAUGCGGGGUUCCUUCAAGGGUUGCAGCGAAAUGCCGAUGUGGCGGAUUUGCUGAAGAAGCAGGCGUACCUCAUAAGCUUCCUCCAGGAUCACAAU
Lutzomyia longipalpis is the source of this 786-nucleotide long non-coding RNA. RefSeq lists it as uncharacterized. The transcript has 2 exons. The record is from RefSeq and is a predicted model, not a curated record. Lineage: Eukaryota; Metazoa; Arthropoda; Insecta; Diptera; Psychodidae.